AUUGAACGCUGGCGGCAUGCCUUACACAUGCAAGUCGAACGGUAACGCGGGGCAACCUGGCGACGAGUGGCGAACGGGUGAGUAAUAUAUCGGAACGUGCCCAGUAGUGGGGGAUAGCCCGGCGAAAGCCGGAUUAAUACCGCAUGAGACCUGAGGGUGAAAGCGGGGGACUCGCAAGAGCCUCGCGCUAUUGGAGCGGCCGAUAUCAGAUUAGCUAGUUGGUGGGUAAAGGCCUACCAAGGCGACGAUCUGUAGCUGGUCUGAGAGGACGACCAGCCACACUGGGACUGAGACACGGCCCAGACUCCUACGGGAGGCAGCAGUGGGGAAUUUUGGACAAUGGGCGCAAGCCUGAUCCAGCCAUGCCGCGUGCGGGAAGAAGGCC
Molecule: ribosomal RNA, 385 nt
Filed under: uncultured bacterium
Lineage: Bacteria
Description: bacterial SSU rRNA
Rfam family: Bacterial small subunit ribosomal RNA
Source: RNAcentral